This 384-nucleotide ribosomal RNA is filed under the name Campsicnemus nigricollis. RNAcentral's name for it is "partial 16S ribosomal RNA". The record is from RNAcentral. Lineage: Eukaryota; Metazoa; Arthropoda; Insecta; Diptera; Dolichopodidae.
UCUUUUAAUUGAAGGCUUGUAUGAAUGAUUGGACGAGAUAUAAACUGUCUCAUAAAAAUUUUUUUUAGAAUUUAAUUUUUUAGUUAAAAAGCUAAAAUAAAAUUAAAAGACGAGARGACCCCAUAGAUCUUAAUAUUUUUAUUUAUUAUUAUUAUUUAGUUUUUUUAUAAAUUAAUAAUUGAAAAUAUUUUGUUGGGGUGAUAUUGAAAUUUAGUAAACUUUCAAAAUUUAAUAMCAUUGAUUUAUGAAUUUAUGAUCCUUUAUUAUUGAUUAAAAAUUUAAGUUACCUUGGGGAUAACAGCGUAAUUAUUUUAGAGAGUUCAUAUCAAUAAAAUAGAUUGCGACCUCGAUGUUGGAUUAAGAUUAAUUUUGGGUGUAGUAGUC